GAGGGUAUAGCUCUGUGGUAGAGUGCCUGCCUAGCAUGCACAAGGUCCUGGCUUCAAUCUCCAGUACCUCCA
Molecule: transfer RNA, 72 nt
Filed under: Camelus ferus (Wild Bactrian camel)
Lineage: Eukaryota; Metazoa; Chordata; Mammalia; Artiodactyla; Camelidae
Rfam family: tRNA
About the family: Transfer RNA (tRNA) molecules are approximately 80 nucleotides in length.
Source: Rfam by way of RNAcentral